CAUGAUCCACAUCAUAGUAACCAACAGAGUAAUCCUCGUUUUGAUCUGAUCCAUCGUGGCUUUAUAUGGACGACAGAGCUUGAACGAUGUACAAUCACACUGAUUCACUACUACUGGUGCUACAUUGGUUACAAAAUCCCUGCCUUCAUCGCUGACAUGGGAUCCUUUUGUUCUGGGCAAAGACCAAGAAUGAAUAAGUUAUAUGGCAAGCUGGACCGGGCAACAAAGAGCUUGAUCUUCUAGCAUCACUUCCAGAGGCUGGGAG
Non-coding RNA from Pocillopora verrucosa, 265 nucleotides. The record is from RefSeq and is a predicted model, not a curated record. NCBI's taxonomy places the organism in Eukaryota, Metazoa, Cnidaria, Anthozoa, Scleractinia, Pocilloporidae.